UCUGGACUGACCCAAUUGGUCAUCAAAGUAGGCUCUGGAAGAGCAUAAAAAAUGUUUAAGUGUUAAGUACAAAAUGAAACCCAUAUAAAGGCAAAUCGGUUAGAAAAAUAUACCUUAAGUCAAGGGUCAUGAUUUUAAAGUGGUGUGAUGGAAAGCAUAGAGUUUUAAAUCAUAUGUUUUAAGUCACUUAUUGUUUGGGAGACCCUGGGCAAGUGACUUAACUGUUAUGGGUCUCAGUUUCUAUAUAAAAUAGAAAUAAUAUAUUGUGGUCUGUAUGGAAAAUUCUGAGCUUCAAUUUUCCUUUUUUUAAAUGGGGAUAACAAUAUCCCAUCUUACUGGGUUGUUGGGAGAAUUAAAUGAGCUUAUACAUGAAAGCACUUAGCAUUAUGUCUAUUGCAUAAUAAGCAUUAAAUAUGAGUUAGCUAUUACAAUUAAUAGGCUAAUAUAUUUUGUUCACAGUAUGUAUUAUUCUCUGAAAUUAUCUUUUUUUUUGUUUUGUUUUUUUAAGUUCCAUGAGGCAAGAGCUUUAUGCCUGGUUCACCCCUAGAAUUUAGAAUAAGUGCCUGGUACACAGGCACUAUUUUGGCUCUUUUCUCCAAUACAUCACUGCAGUUACUCUUGACCAUCAUGCUACCAAAUCUGAAAGACAACCCAUCCUCUAUUCAGCACCCUGGGUGAAUUCUUUAAAAUUUAAAUCAGAUCUCACUCCCCUGCUUAACACACUUCAAAGGAUAUCUUAGCAUUUAGAAUAAAUCUAAACUCCUUCUCGUGGCUACAUGUCCUGUGUGCUCUGGGCCCUCUGGCCUCAUUAUGUCAGUUUCUAUGUUCCAGUGCCACUGGCUCUGUGUCAGUUCCUAGACCAUGCCAAGCUCUUUCAGCCUCAGGGACUUUGCAUUUGCUGUUCUCUCCAACCUAGAAUACUCCUCUCCAAGUUUCUUACAUGGCUGGCUCCUUUUUUUUUUUAAUCUUCAUUUAUUUUUGAGAGACAGGCAGAGUGUGAGCUGGGGGAGGGGCAGAGAGAGAGGGAGACACAGAAGCAAGCUCCAGGCUCUGGGCUGUCAGCGCAGAGCCCGAUGUGGGGCUUGAACUCACGAACUGUGAGAUCAUGACCUGAGCUGAAGUUAGAUGCUUAACUGACUGAGCUACCCAGGCACCCCUGGCUCCUUCUAAGUAUAGUAGUUAGCAACACAGAUUUUGAAACCAGAGUGCUUAGGUUCCCAUUUUUGCUCUAUCACUUAACACCUGUAUGAGCCAAGAUACUUAAUCUCUAGAUUGUGCCUCAGAUUCUUCAUCUUUAAAAACAGAGAUAAAAUAUGUACCUCAUUAGGUUGCUGAAUGUAAAGAGUUAAUAUAAGGUGCUUUGAACAGUGCCUAGCAAGCACCACCAUGACCACCAUCUUUCAGCUUAAAUACUGCCUCCUCAGAGACCCUGUUCUUUAUCAGAACACCUAGUACUCAUCACAAUCUGACAAUAUAUUUUUUUGUUGUUUACUGUUUGUACUCCACAAGCAGGGAAUUUGUCUUACUUAACUACUGUAUGCUCAGAACCUAGCACAAUGCCUGAUACAGGUACUCGGUAAGUAUAUGCUGAAUGAUUACAAAAGUAGUUAUAGUAUUAUUAAUAUUUUCUUGCCACCUGUAAGAAAGGUCCAGAGCUGUGCCACGGCAGCAAAGAGGAGAGCUGGGAUCUGUACCCGGGUUCCAACCACCCACCUCGGAUGAAUGAUGGUUACAAGGUGUUCUGUAAACAACAACAGGUAUAUCUCUGAUAUUCUCUUCUUCCAGAUGUUAACUCAUCUGUCACAGUUUGCUGACGUUGCAUCUCCUGCUUGAAGCUUCCUCUGCUCAAGCCCACCUUUGGCUUAGCGGAGCUCCCACAGCACUCAGUAUUCAUUUCUUGGCUGAGUCUUAUUUUUAAUGUUUCUGCACUGUUUCUUCCACAUAUCAUCUUAACUGAUGAUGCCCUGCUCUUAACUCAUUUGCACUUCCUCACUGUUCCUGAGCACCUCGUGCACCUCUGGGCCCCCAGAAUGUGCUCAGCACAAAUUUGGAGAGUGACCACUGCUGCCGCCUUUUCAGGAAUCUGGCCUGGGGCAGCUUUGCAUUGUGCCCAUGCUUUCAUGGAAGAGAUGAGGACUCUAGGAGAGGGGGGUCAGCCAGCUGUUCUCUUACCUGAUCUGUUGUGGCCGGCGGUGGCAAAGCUGUAGAGAGUGAAAGGAUCCGCAGGGAGGCCUCCAACUGCUGAGGAGGCAAAAAGAAGUUGGGCACCACAAUGGGUUCCGGGCUAUAAUGGUAGUUAAGGGGCACAGAUACAUUGAAAUCUGCUCCCCUUGCCAGACUGGCAUCUCCACUGGCCUUAGUCAUCCCUACUUGUCCAACUUAUUCUUGUACAGUAGUGCCUUCUGUCUGGAAGGCCCUGCCCACCCCUAACAAGUCGCAGUCUAUACUUUCUGCAAGGGUCAGUUAAAAUCCUUCCUCUCCUAAUGUUAGACCUCAGUGAUCCCUCCUUCCCCUCAUUAUUUCCCUAGAGCCCUGCAUGAGGCUGGUACGCAGCAACAUUUAAAUGAUACUUGCUGAGGUCCUGCUGACCCACAACUGACCCGUUAGAAGCCAGUCAGACAGGGUUGGGUUGGAAGGUGGCCCCAAGGACAGUGUCUUAGGCUGGAGGGAGAUGCCUGACACUGAAGGAGGCUGGUCCUCCCAGUUGUCCUCUGCCAACAUCCAGGAAUGAGGGCUCUACAUGAGGGGCUGUCUGUGGAUAUAGCUGGUUCACCCAGUCUGCAUCUGAGCCCUAGAAGUCAAGUACCACAUCUUAUACUUUUCCUGGUACUAGAUGUACCCAGUACUGUGCUGAGAACAUGGUGUUUCCAAAAAUAUUUGUUCAAUCAAAGCACUGAUUCAGUUUGGGAGGGGACUACUUUGACGUUCCAAUUUUUUGUUUCUGUUCAAUAAGCUAAAUAUGGUUCUGGUUCAAAUUGUUUUAUCAUGGUUCUUCCAUGCUAGAAUUUAAGCUCCAAGAGGGCAGAGAUUAUUCAUCUCUUUUUCAGUCAUGUUCCUGUCACCUAGCACAGUGCCUGGGACAUAGUAAGUUUUUAAUAAGUAUCUACUGACUGCAGCGUAUCCUCAAGGCUCCAUUUUGUGUGGGUGGUUCUCCUUUUCCAUGCUCUGCCUGCUCCCCUUAUCUAUUUCCGGAGACACCUACCUUUAUAGCUGGCCUCCUCUUGGAUGUCUUGUAGGCAUAUGUCCAAAAUGGAAAUCUGUACCUUCCUCCAAAACUAUCUGUCUUUAUGUGCUAGUCCCUAUCCAGUCAAUGACAUCACUUACCUAGCAACUUGUAACAGAACUAAGUCUACUUUGUAUUUGUUUUUCUCUUCCUUGCGCCUAAUUCUCUCCCAUCUAUGAUGUAGAUUAGAUUAGCCAGGCAUAAAAGGCUCUUUAAGAUUUAGCCCUGCCUCACCGCUCACCAUCUCAUGUACCCCUGGACUCUAAGCAGAGUGAACUGCUCCCCACAGGUCAGGCUCUUUCACCUGGCUAUGCCUCUGCAUACACAGUUCACUGUAACUAGAAUUUUCUCGUUUGUUUACAGGAUGUCUAUUCAUCUUUGAGGUCCAGCUCCACUGUCUCUCUUCCCGGGAUACAUCCAGUGUUGUGGUAGCUUCCUCCUCUUGCUCCCUAGCAUUUUGUCCAGGUUUCAUCACAACACCUAGAACAAUAAAUUCUAUCACUGCCUGUGUCCUGCCUCAUGAUAGGAACUUCUUAAGGGAGUGAGUAGAUGUAUGAAAAUGGAACAUCUCUACCUGCAAACAGGAACAGGAACCAGGAAGGAACAGUCUGCUGUGUUCUACCAUCAAAUCCAAAUUAAAUGAGAGAAUACAAAGCUGAUCCUUAAUCUGUCAUUAGAAGCCACGACUCUCUCAAAUCACAGUGGAUUUAUGGACUUCAAGCUGUAUUACAAAGCUGUAAUCAUUAAGACAGUAUGGUCCUGGCACAAGAAAAGACACUCAGAUCAAUGGAACAAAAUAGAGAACCCAGAAAUGGACCCACAAAUAUAUGGCCAACUAAUCUUUGACAAAGCAGGAAAGAAUAUUCAAUAGAAUAAAGACAGUCUUUUCAGCAAGUGGUGCUAAGAAAACUGGACAGCGACAUGCAGAAAAAUGAACCUGGAUCACUUUCUCACACCAUACACAAAAAUAAACUCAAAAUGGAUGAAAGACCUAAAUGUAAGACAGGAAGCCAUCAAAAUCCUUGAGGAGAAAGCAGGCAAAACCUCUCUGACCUCGGCUGCAGCAACUUCCUACUCAACAUGUCUCCAGAGGCAAGGGAAACAAAAGCAAAAAUGAACUAUUGAGACCUCAUCAAAAUAAAAAGCUUCUGCACAGCGAAGGAAACAAUCAGCAAAACUAAAAGGCAACCGAAGGAAUGGGAAAAGAUAUUUGCAAAGGACAUAUCAGAUAAAGGGUUAGUAUCUAAAAUCUAUAGGAAACUUAUCAAACUUAACAUCCCAAACCCAAAUAAUCCAGUGAAGAAAUGGGCAAAAGACAUGAAUAGACACUUCUCCAAAGAAGACAUCCAGAUGGCCAACCAACACAUGAAAAAAUGCUCAACAUCACUCAUCACCAGGGAAAUACAAAUCAAAACCACACUGAGAUACCAUUUCACAACCAUCAGAAUGGCUAACAUUAACCUCAGGCAACAACAGAUGUUGGCGAGGAUGCAGAGACAGAGGAUCUCUUUUGCACUGCUGGUGGGAAUGCAAACUGGUGCAGCCACUCUGGAAAACAGUAUGGAGGUUCCUUAAAAAAUUAGAAAUAGAACUACCCUACAACCCAGUAAUUGCACUACUAGGUAUUUAUCCAAGGGAUACAGGUAUGCUGUUUCAAAGGGGCAUAUGCACUCCAAUGUUUAUGGCAGCACUAUCAACAACAGCCAAAUUAUGGAAAGAACCCAAAUGUCCAUCAACAGGUGAAUGGAUAAAGAAGAUGUGUGUAUAUAUAUAAAUACACACACACACACACACACACACACACACACACACACACACACAAUGGAGUAUUACUCAGCAACCAAAAAGAAUGAACUCUUGCCAUUUGCAACUACAUAGAUGGAACUAGAGGGUAUUAUAUAAGCUAAGCGAAAUUAGAGAAAGACAAAUGUCACAUGACUUCACUCAUGUGAGGACUUUAAGAUACAAAACAGAUGAACAUAAGGGAAGGGAAGCAAAAAUAAUAAAAAAACAGGGAGGGGGAGAAACAUAAGAGACUCUUAAAUAUGGAGAACAAACAGAGGGUACUGGAGGGGGGAUGGGCUAAAUGGUUAGGGGGCAUUAGGGAAUCUACUCCCGAAAUCAUUGUUGCACUAUAUGCUAACUAACUUGGAUGUAAAUUAAAAAAAUAAAUAAAAUUAAAAAAUCACAGUGGUUUACUUAGGUGUCUACAUUUGGGUGUCUGCCACCUGCCACUUGUAGCAGGAAAAUGCAAACAAAUGUUAACUGGGUGAAGCUUUAAAGAAAAUGUGCAAACCCAACUGAUCUUGUCAGAGGUUCUGGGUAUAGAACCUACUAAUACUAAGCUGCAAUUUUCUUUCUGUGAAAAAGGUUUAUUAAUAUUUGCUCUGCAGACCUCAUAGGAUUGCUGUGACUCAAAAGAAGCACUGUUUUAGGGCUCUGUGAAUCUAAGGAAGUAAUAAUGCAAAGUCGCUAUUUUGUUUCAUCUCCAUUUUUAGAGAAUUCAUCUACUAGCAGUUUUCAAAACCUGGUUCUAGAUCUAGCAGCAUUAGCAUCAUCUGAGAACUUCUUAGAAAUGCCAAUUCUCAGGCCCUAUCCUAGACCUAUUGAAUUAGGAACUGUAUGGGUGGGUAGAACAAUUGCUGUUUUAACAAGUUGUUCAUGUGAUUCUGACACACACUGACUUUUGAGAACCACUGUUCUAGGGCAGUGGUUUAUAGCCUGGUAAUUUGGCCCCAAGAACACAUUUGGCAAUGUGUGAAGACAUUUUUGGUUGUCACAAUCGGGGCAGGAGAGCUACUAGUAUCUAGUAGAUAGAGGCCAAGGAUGCUGCUAAAUUCUUACAAUGCGUAAGACAGGCCCCCUACAGCAAAAUAUCUGGCCCAAAUGUCAAUAGCGCUGACACUGAGAGAACUGCACGAGAGUUUCUUUUUCUCUUUCUUGGUAGAUUCUAAAAUAUGUUAUGUGAGUGACCCAACAAAAUGCAGCCACACUGUUAAUGGUUUUACUUAAAUAGCCUCCAGUCUCUAGCUGAGAAUCUAAAAUGAGAAUCUGAACAUACCACUUCCUUAUAAUACAAAAAUUUGAACAAUUUCCCAUAGUCUAUAGUAUAACUGUUCAAUUCUUUUUAACCUAUGUUCCACCAAUCAAAAAUAUUUUGCCAAUUCUUUUCUGAGUUUGCUUUAAGAAACCAAAUGAUU
Long non-coding RNA from Acinonyx jubatus (cheetah), 6423 nucleotides. RefSeq lists it as uncharacterized. NCBI's taxonomy places the organism in Eukaryota, Metazoa, Chordata, Mammalia, Carnivora, Felidae. The record is from RefSeq and is a predicted model, not a curated record. The transcript is spliced from 3 exons.